GUGGGGAAUCUUAGACAAUGGGGGAAACCCUGAUCUAGCCAUGCCGCGUGAGCGAUGAAGGCCUUAGGGUUGUAAAGCUCUUUCAGAGGGGAAGAUAAUGACGGUACCCUCAGAAGAAGCCCCGGCUAACUCCGUGCCAGCAGCCGCGGUAAUACGGAGGGGGCUAGCGUUGUUCGGAAUUACUGGGCGUAAAGCGCACGUAGGCGGACCAGAAAGUCAGGGGUGAAAUCCCGGGGCUCAACCCCGGAACUGCCUUUGAAACUCCUGGUCUUGAGGUCGAGAGAGGUGAGUGGAAUUCCGAGUGUAGAGGUGAAAUUCGUAGAGAUUCGGAGGAACACCAGUGGCGAAGGCGGCUCACUGGCUCGAUACUGACGCUGAGGUGCGAAAGCGUGGGGAGCAAACAGGAUUAGAUACCCUAGUAGUCC
RNAcentral lists this ribosomal RNA (425 nucleotides) under uncultured bacterium. Its description in RNAcentral is "bacterial SSU rRNA". It matches the Rfam family "Bacterial small subunit ribosomal RNA", at positions 354 to 796 of the family's 1533-position model. The record is from RNAcentral.